GUGUCAGCCGCCGCGGUAAUACGUAGGGGGUGAGCGUUAUCCGGAUUUACUGGGCGUAAAGCGCGUGUAGGUGGUUGCGUAAGUUAGUUGUGAAAUCUCCCGGCUCAACCGGGAAACUGCAGCUAAUACUGCGCGGCUAGAGUGGCAGAGAGGAAAGUGGAAUUCCCGGUGUAGUAGUGAAAUGCGUAGAUAUCGGGAGGAACACCAGUGGCGAAGGCGACUUUCUGGCUGCUAACUGACACUGAGACGCGAAAGCUAGGGGAGCGAACGGGAUUAGAUACCCCAGUAGUCC
Molecule: ribosomal RNA, 292 nt
Filed under: uncultured bacterium
Lineage: Bacteria
Description: partial 16S ribosomal RNA
Rfam family: Bacterial small subunit ribosomal RNA
Source: RNAcentral